RNAcentral lists this long non-coding RNA (4509 nucleotides) under Bemisia tabaci. RNAcentral's name for it is "lncRNA ENSASIAIIG000665". The record is from RNAcentral. Lineage: Eukaryota; Metazoa; Arthropoda; Insecta; Hemiptera; Aleyrodidae.
CAAGAUGACCAGAACUCAGAUGACAAAACAUUUUGGUCAGCAAGCUGUGCCACAAUUCUUGCUUUUCACAAGUGGUUCAAUAACUUUGACAGGAACCUCAAUCAAGAAGAUGUCAUUUUGAAGUUUGAUAGGACCAGAAAUGCUGUUAUCUCAAACCAAGGCAUUAAAGUAAUUGAGCUGCGGAAAGAAAACGGAGAUGUACUGCAUUCAUGGCAGUUUCCAGAGAAUCUUGCAAAAAAAAAAUUGUUUUUGGUGCCUGUACAGCAUCUAAAUGUUGCAGAAACAAUUGUAGUUGAAGACGCUUUUGGUAAUCUGUUAAAGCAAAGGCUUAGUAGUCUGGUUUGAACUUCCCUCAUUAUCUCUUGCAUUAUUUAGUAUGUAUUCAAGCUCUAUUUGCUUUUUGGUACAUGGUUUGUGCAGCUUUGAAAAGUGCUUAAAAAAUGCUCUGUUUUGACAUUGUUUUUCAAGGGCUAUAAAGAGCUUGAAUUUUUAUCUUUACUAAUUGUCAGUAUUAAAUGUACAGUUUUAAUAACUGACAAUGCAUUUUGACGCCAACUAGACCAUUUAAAAGUGCAUCCUCCUGUAAAAGAAAGCAUUAUCUACCUCUAAAGUGAACUUAAAUUUUAUGACUUGGACUUAUGAUACAGGAAGAAAACUGAGCAUUGAGGAAAAAAUAACGAUGAAGGUGAUAAAAUGUGCUGGAAUAUUCCAGAGGCUUAAAAUCUUCCAAGUUUCCACAUUUUCAUGUGCCCGCCUACUGACUUUUUAAAGAGUGUCUCACCAAUAUAAAAAGGAUGACUUUCUUCUUUUCCCUUUGAUUUUUGCCCCUUAAAAAUUUGUCUACCUUCCAAAGUUUGGGGCCUUUCCCAACUUUCACAUGCUUGCUGACGAAUGUGAUCAAGUAUUUUCUGCAACUCUAGAAAAUUGCAAAAAGUGCUUGACUGAAUAGUCUUAAAGUUGCACUAACUAUGGAUCAAAAUGGUCACUCUCGUUUGCCUUAAAACUUAUCUUUUGAUUCCUAGAUCAUUCCAAAUAGGAUUAUAUGCAAACCUCUGUCUGCUGUUAGUUCCAAAUCGAAAGAAAAGCUCAUAGGAUAUUGAUACAAGUUGAGGACUAGUUCUUUAUGUGCCUUGUUGAAAGGUCAAAUAGGAAAUUCCUUUGAAAAUUAUGGAACUUUGGUUCUCCCAAGAUGCAGUUGUCUGAAAGAAACGAUAAAUUGUGGUAGAUAUGUGCAAGGAACAGGUUUUCCAAAAUUUAUCUCAAUGAUAGAAAUAAUUGUGAUUAGAGUGUUAUUUCCUCACUGCUGAUCAUGAUUUAUUCACUGUCAGAUCUCAUAAAACAGUAUUUUAAUUUUAUUCCUUUCUUUAUAUCUAUUUUGUUUCUCAUUAAAUUUUUCUCUCUCUAUUUUAAGCUAGCCAGGAAGAAAUAAGCGGAAUGUUGUUGUAGGUUGAUUGGCCUAAUUCCGCUUUGCAGAUAAAUGGCCACUUACAAAAGUUUGGGAUCACACACUAAAUGAUCAUUUCCCUUGAGAAUAAACAAAGUUUAAUGUCUCGGUCAAUGGUUGGUUCGAUUAUAAUCUACUAAAAUUUUGUUCUGGGGUGGAUUAUCUUUGAAAAAUAAUUGAUCACGUCCCUUUGAGCAUUGCCACUCUUAAAUAAAGUAAACAGAAUAGAAGGGGGAAAAAUCCUGUAUUAGUUUAAUUGUUUGCAUCGCAAAAAUUGUUGCCAGAAAAAGAGAAUUUAAUUGAGUAAUCGCAGUGGCCAGAUUUAUUUAUAUAUAUUCUUAAUCUGAAUGCAUUUUGCUUUUGAAAUUCCAUCUUCAGUAGGUACUUAAAUGAUUAGAUGUUUCCUGUUAAAAAUCUCUAACUCAUUUAUUACUUUCAUUACACUUAAUGAGCGGAUAUCUAUCUGACUUGAUUUGCACUGCUAGGUAGGUAAUCAGUUCACUUCCAGUGAGUGCUAAAAUUUUAAUGUUGCUUAAAAAAAAUCACAAACGGUUACUGAGUCAUGUGCUAAUGUCAUUCUAAUACCUCUUCUGAGAAAUUCAAAAAUUCAACCAUGUACCUUCUUCAAAACUCACAUGCCCAGGGCUUAAUCGGUUUGAUUUAUGAUUACUUAGUUUGGUUUUUGAAAUUAAAAUUAAUUUAUAUUUUUAAAUUUGAAUUUAGUCUCCUCCCCCCUCUGAAAAAACUGCAAGCUUAUUCUGUCUAAAAUAGUAUUUUCGAGCAGUAAAAUAUUAAGAAUCAAUGAAAGUAGGAUCCAUAACAAGUAAACUCGCUAUAAAUGAAGGAAAUCACUUUUAAUCCUCAGUGUUAGGCUUUCUAAUUUUACUUCAUGAUUCCCAUUACGCCUAAGGUGCAGACUUCUCCUGCAGAAAUCCUAUGAGUUCAAACAACUUUGUAUCAUUAGAGAUUCCUCUUCUCAGUCUUUAAUUAGAGAUGGUUAGCUAUUGAUUUAACUGUAACUUCCAUUUUAGAGUUGAUCAAAUCGUAGAUUAUGAGGCAACAAGCAGGAUCCUGUCCAUCAGGAUUUACUGUUGCUUGAUACAUAGUUGUUCUAUUACCAAAACAUUCCCUCUAGCCACAUGGCCUUAAAAUACUUGAAUUAUAGUGAAUCAAAUAUUUUUUCAUUUUGUUGGUAUUGCUUCCUUUUGAAAAUUUUACGUGUUUAGAUUUGUAAAGUAGCUAAUGAGGAUAGAUUUUUUAUCCACUCACAUUGAAGUAUUGCUUUGAUCUUUAAAGUACUGAUUGAAUGUCAAUGAAUGUGGCAAAAUUUAAAUGCAAUCUCUGUUGUGGUUAUAAAGAAGAUCCAGGUAUGAAUUACAGUGAUUUCACCCCUCUCUCUAUAAAAUUCGUUUUUAUAACCAAGUGUGUGCAUUUUUUGUAGCUGUUUGUUGGAUAUUUUACCACUCGCUCAAGGAAAUCUACCUAUCCUCAAAUUGCUCAUGAUAUGAAUCAAAUUUUUUCCUUAUAAAGGGCACAUGCAUGAGAAUCAAUCAAAACACUGUAAUUCAUGUAGCAUGCUUUGAAGUUCAUAAGUGAAAAAUACAAAUCUGAUCAAUAACUCUCAGGCUCAACAUCUCAUUAAGAAUGUAAAGAUGUUUUACUAAGCCAAAACUUUAAACUCGUCAUUGCAUUGAAUUUGAAAUUUUUCUCAAUGAUAAUCUUAAUUGUCAGCCUCAGUUUGUCAGCUUGGUUUUGCUUUGAAGUUAAUGUAAACAGCUCUGUGUUCUAAGUCAAUUUUCUUUUCUCUUCUAAUUGAGUCUCAAAAAUUAUGGAUGAAAAAAGGGAAAAGAAAAUACAUUAAAAACCUCCCAUCAAGAUAAAACCGUCUUAUGGAAUAAUAGAUCCAAAGCAAAGGAAAGUGAUGCAUCAGGUACAUAAUUUUAGCUGAAGUUCUAUUGUCAUAUAAUCUAUGUAGAUUUAUUAAUCUUAAGUAAUCGUUACCACUUCAAACUGUAAAAUAAUUUUCGUAGGGUAGAACAAAAUUUUGAGCAAAAAAGAAGAGGUUAGUUUGCUUCAGUAAUCCAAUUCCUAUUGUAAAUUGAAUUUGGAUUUUUGAAAUUUUGCCAUUGAUUUGUUUUGAAAACUAUAGAAUAGAACUCGAGUCUGUCCAAAAGUUGCCAGCCAGAAUUUGCGUUAGGCGUUUCAUUGACGCCUCCAAAAUUUACCUUGUCUUUUAAGUCUCUCAAGAAUACUGCAAUAUAUGUUAAAUAUUAUUUUUAAGGAUGGCUUUUUCAAAUAUUAUUCUUGAAGUUUGGAAGGAAGAUUUUCUUCUCUGAGAAAGGAACUUUAAGUUUAGGUCGUCUCAGUUUUAUGUUUGUAGUGCAGAAAAAAAUCAAACCUAGAGGAAUGGAAAUAGAGAGUCAGAAUGACAUGCUCUGCAUUUUAAUGUAAUCAGUAUCAAGGUCAGAGAUGGCCAUUCAAUUCCUUAACAGCUGUAAAUAAAAUAAUAUUACACUGAUCACUGGAAGCAAUCUUUCAUCGCUGUUUUUAUUCUAAAUUAGAUGUUCAAACCUCACCAGGACUUAGAUUUUACAUCAACUCAAUUGAUUUAUCUUCACUUAAACCUUCAAAAAAAAGUGAAUAGUUUGAUUGUGGUGCCUUGUUUUUAGAAUAUCACCAAUUUUUCUGAGGUAUACUGGGAGACAUUUUUUCUCCAUGUGUUGCAAUUCAAGUCCUUGUACUCGUAAUUUUCUCAUGAAGUGAAGCUGUCUUAUACAAAUACAUAGUAUGAUCUGUAUUUUUGCUAUGCUGCACUUCAUUCAUUCAUAGUGCUAUUUUUAAACAAAUUCACCUUGUUACUUUGUAAAAUUGUUGUAACCAACAAUAAGGAGGAAGUGUCAAAAGAAAUCACUCAGUCAAUGCUGUCUCAAAAUAUCUUCUAAGUCUCAUCAUAGUUCCUCAUUAUCAAUCAGUAAGUAGCACAGAGGUAAAACUUUGAAAUUGACUCAAGGGAGAAGAAAAUUGAAAAAAAACAAUAAACUUACUUGAAAUAUCUAUACAACUCU